UUUGUGGCUUUCCGUGUGGAUUAGGUGUUCACACCACAGUGUCAACAAGUGCCUCAGGUGAAGCUAAAUGAACUCCAUGUUCUGUUUUGCUGGCUGCUGACUCAGUUAAAAGGUGUUGUUGGCGACAGUCGCUGUCCCUCAAAUCCGUCAAGGAUUACUAAGAACGCAUGGUUCGGACACAGAUAGCUUUACUCUCCUGACUACCUUGCUCCAAGACACACUCGGAGACCUCACACUGCGCUUUUAUUGCAUUCAUUUUUGUCUCUUUUGGCUCCUCGUUCGUUACCGGGAAACUGUUCAGUUUUGUUAUCCUUUUGUAUACAUAUAUAUUUCAUAUAUAUAUCCUCUUUCAGCAUCUAUACAAAAUGACACAUGCCUUCUACUAUGGUCUGCACCCAGUCUCUUGGUUCAUUCUUUUUGCUAAUGUUGCCGUCACCAUCGUGGAAUGGUAUUUUCUCGUUUCUCAGUUUAUCAAACUUUCCAAGCAACAAGAAAAUGAAUCUAAACCCUAGAGGAGUCAAGUGCAACCUGAUGCUGCACCAAGAAGAUCCGGGAGGAUGUAUUUUUGGAUCACCAUUUGCACACCCACUUGUAGAGAAAAAUCAUUAAUGAGCUAUCUGUGGACAACAUGUACCAGUUUGGAAGUCCUUUUAUUCACAAGUCCAAAAAAAGAGCUGAGGAGGCGUUUUAGGUUUUGAUUACAAGACUGGAUUCUUGGCCCCAAACCAGUGGAGGAUGAUUCAGAGGAAGGGGGAACAAAAAUAGAAAAAGAGCACCGACUGAGUGUUUCCAGUAAUGUGAUGGAGAAAGACAGGCUGAAGAUGGAGACAGAAAAGGACGGGCUCCUUCCUGGUUUCCACCGUCCAUCUGUCCAUCCGUCCUCCCCUGUUCCUCUGAGAAGCGCCUUUGCUUCAUCACACCCUGGAGAAAAAAGGAUAUCUACUCAUAGUGUGACCUUUGCUUGCCCCAUGAGUCCUUAUGUCACUUCCCUUUGAGUGUUGUCUCGUAGCUCAUUUCAGUGCAGUGAUCAGUGUUGUCAUUUUGCAGUAGCCAUGAUGUAACAGCUAAUGUAUUUUUU
Long non-coding RNA from Scatophagus argus, 1078 nucleotides. RefSeq lists it as uncharacterized. The record is from RefSeq and is a predicted model, not a curated record. Lineage: Eukaryota; Metazoa; Chordata; Actinopteri; Scatophagidae. The transcript is spliced from 3 exons.